Molecule: ribosomal RNA, 496 nt
Filed under: uncultured bacterium
Lineage: Bacteria
Description: partial 16S ribosomal RNA
Rfam family: Bacterial small subunit ribosomal RNA
Source: RNAcentral
GAUGAACGCUGGCGGCGUGCCUAAUACAUGCAAGUCGAGCGAACAGACGAGGAGCUUGCUCCUCUGACGUUAGCGGCGGACGGGUGAGUAACACGUGGAUAACCUACCUAUAAGACUGGGAUAACUUCGGGAAACCGGAGCUAAUACCGGAUAAUAUAUUGAACCGCAUGGUUCAAUAGUGAAAGACGGUUUUGCUGUCACUUAUAGAUGGAUCCGCGCCGCAUUAGCUAGUUGGUAAGGUAACGGCUUACCAAGGCAACGAUGCGUAGCCGACCUGAGAGGGUGAGCGGCCACACAGGAACUGAGACACGGUCCAGACACCUACGGGAGGCAGCAGUAGGGAAUCUUCCGCAAUGGGCGAAAGCCUGACGGAGCAACGCCGCGUGAGUGAUGAAGGUCUUCGGAUCGUAAAACUCUGUUAUUAGGGAAGAACAAAUGUGUAAGUAACUAUGCACGUCUGGACGGUACCUAAGCAGAAAGCCACGGCUAACUACGU